GACGAACGCUGGCGGCGUGCUUAACGCAUGCAAGUCGAACGGGCCUGUCUUCUUUUUUGGGGGUGGGUUGAGUGGCGAACGGGUGAGUAUCACGUGAGUAACCUGCCCUUCGGUCCUGGAUAACCGCUUGAAAGGGCGGCUAAUACGGGGUGGUCCGGUUGGUCCGCAUGGGCUGGUCGGGAUAGAUUCACUGUUUUUGGGGUUUCGGCGGGGGAUGGGCUCGCGGCCGAUCAGCUUGUUGGUGGGGUGAUGGCCUACCAAGGCGGUGACGGGUAGCCGGCCUGAGGGGAGGCGCGGCCACACGGGGACCGGGAUACGGCCGAGAGUCCUGCGGGAGGCAGCAGUGGGGGGGAUUGCACAAUGGGCGGAAGCCUGAUGCAGCGACGUCGCGUGAGGGAUGGAGGCCUUCGGGUUGUGAACCUCUGUUUCCGGUGGUGAAGGCCCUGUCCGUGUGGUGGGGUUGACGGUAGCCGGGGAUGAAGCGCCGGCUAACUACGUG
RNAcentral lists this ribosomal RNA (499 nucleotides) under uncultured bacterium. RNAcentral describes it as "partial 16S ribosomal RNA". It matches the Rfam family "Bacterial small subunit ribosomal RNA", at positions 28 to 507 of the family's 1533-position model. The record is from RNAcentral.